RNAcentral lists this transfer RNA (74 nucleotides) under Candidatus Woesearchaeota archaeon CG10_big_fil_rev_8_21_14_0_10_37_12. Its description in RNAcentral is "tRNA-Met". It matches the Rfam family "tRNA". Rfam says of the family: Transfer RNA (tRNA) molecules are approximately 80 nucleotides in length. Their secondary structure includes four short double-helical elements and three loops (D, anti-codon, and T loops). Further hydrogen bonds mediate the characteristic L-shaped molecular structure. tRNAs have two regions of fundamental functional importance: the anti-codon, which is responsible for specific mRNA codon recognition, and the 3' end, to which the tRNAs corresponding amino acid is attached (by aminoacyl-tRNA synthetases). tRNAs cope with the degeneracy of the genetic code in two manners: having more than one tRNA (with a specific anti-codon) for a particular amino acid; and 'wobble' base-pairing, i.e. permitting non-standard base-pairing at the 3rd anti-codon position. The record is from RNAcentral. Lineage: Archaea; Nanobdellati; Candidatus Woesearchaeota.
GGCGAUGUAGCUCAGCCUGGUAGAGCACUGGUUUCAUAAGCCAGGGGUCGCGUGUUCAAAGCACGCCAUCGCCA